RNAcentral lists this transfer RNA (66 nucleotides) under Pisione sp. YZ-2018. RNAcentral's name for it is "tRNA-Lys". Lineage: Eukaryota; Metazoa; Annelida; Polychaeta; Phyllodocida; Pisionidae. The record is from RNAcentral.
UAUUAAGGAGCUGUACUUCUUAGCACUGGGCUUUUAAUCCAGGGAAAAUAUCGUUAUUCUUAAUAU